Molecule: long non-coding RNA, 2164 nt
Organism: Suricata suricatta (meerkat)
Lineage: Eukaryota; Metazoa; Chordata; Mammalia; Carnivora; Herpestidae
Exons: 3
Source: RefSeq, a predicted model, not a curated record
GGGCCCGAGCGGUAGCGCCUUGUGGCGCUGACCGGGCUGCGGGAGGGGCUCGGGCGAAGGCGCUGACUGUCCCGCCACCGCUCUUGGCAAGUGAGUCCGCCUGCGUCCCCAGACUCUGCUGCUGACCUCUUCCGGCUACUCCCCGUCUACCUGUGACCCCAUAAGUCCCCGUCCGUCCCCUCCCUUCCCGCUUCAUCCCUCUGCAUCGCCUUCCGUCCCCGAGGCUUUCAGAGGCUCCUCCUGCUCAGCCCCCCUCCGUCUCCCUGCGUCCCCAUACCCUCUGUGGCUCCAGCUCUGGCUCCUCCCCGUCUCCCUCCUUCCCCUUCGUCCCCCUGCCUACCCGCUUUGUAGCUCUCGGUCCCUCUGCGUCCCCUUACGCCCCCUUCCUUCCCGCUCCGUCCCCUUGUAUCCCCCUGCCCCUGAUUCCCAGACUUUCUGCAGCUCCAGCUCUGUCUCCUCCCCGUCACCGUCACCCUUCUAAUCUGUGUCUCCUUCAAUCCCACCCAGACCCCCACCGUCCCCCUGCGCACCCAGGCUGUUUGUGGCUCCUGCUUCUCCUCUGGUUCCACACUGUCCCCUUCUGUCCCCCUCCAUCCUCCACCAUCCCUCUGUCUCUGCAGCUCCUGCCCCUCCUCCAGGUCCACCCUGUCCCCUUCAGUUCCCCUGUGUCCCCUGCAUCCCCAGCCUCUCCAUAGCUCCUGUACCUUGCUCCUCUAACCCGUUCCGCGAGCUCCUUCGCCACCGCAGUCCUUCUGGGCCCUGAUCUCUCUGCAGGGUGAUUCUGUCCCCCACGGAACACACAGCCGCACUGUCCCUCCACAGGGCCGUCACCAAUACCAGGCUUCUCCCUGUCCCCAGGGCCUCAGGCAGCAGAGGCCUCCACCAGCUGAAAGCCCCAACAAGGGGGCGGGCCAGCACUGCCCAGAGCCUGGGCCUUGGCUUCAGGGAGCUUCUGGAUUGGAGCAUCCCUAAUCUGUGACUGUGCAACCAAGAGCUCUGACUCUGAGUGGCUCAAAGCAGGCAGUUUACCUUCCAGUUGCUGAGGCCAGAAAUCCAUGAGCCAGUGUAGGUGUGUGGUCCUGGGUAGGGUCUCCCCUGAGGUGGUCCUCAAACCGUCAGCCCGGCUGCAUCGCCUGGAACCUGGCCUGGGGCCGGAGGACUUCCUCCCUAGAGGGUGUCCGUGAGUGGCUGGCAGUCAGUGCAGACUGCCUCGGUUCUCCUCGCAGGGCCUGCAGUUCCUGAGGGCCUUCCCAGCAGGCCCAACUUUAUAGGGUUACUAGAGAGAAAAACGGAGAGAGACAACGAGCGAAAUUAAAGAGAGAGCCAGUGAGCACAGUGUAUGAGACAGAAGCUGCAGACCUGUCGCCACCUCAUUUUGGAAUUCUUGGACGUUUUCUUAUUGCUGUCAUAGUCCAUUAGUCACUCCCCGGAAGGGGAUUCCACAAAGCCAGGAAAAUAGGAGAGAAUGUUGGAGGUCAUCUUAGAGGUGCCCACCACUGACCUUGGGGCCGGUCAGCAUGGUGUUCGCCCUCCUCCUGGGCCCCACCCCUGCACUGAGGAGGAGGCUCUCCAUCAGAGGUUCUGAUUGCACACUGAUGAUCUCUCACGUCCUGGAAUGUGUUUCCAUGUUGCCUUCCUCCGUGGUGUGGGACACAUUUGUGUAGAUGAAUGGAGCACAGCAUACCAUUGCGUAUCCUUCACUUACUGGUUGACACGUACACCUUGCCGUCAUAAGUCUGACACCCGAAAUGCUGAUACCAGCCAAUCAACACCAGUUUGCAAACCAAGUACGGGAUGACCCUGCCCAGCGUCGGUAUGGAAGAUCCUGCUCAUGGAAUACUUCGAUCUCAACUCUGAACAGGGGUUACAGGCCCCUGUGUAAAGGAACAAGGCUGUUAUGGAGGGAGCCCAGAGAGCAGAUUCAGUCAGAGAGGGUAUAGUUGUGCUUGGAAGGGAAACCAGGUCCUAUGAGCAGAUCUCAGAUCUUUCAGAGUCUCCAGAAUGGGACCAGCAGUGAGAUGCAUUUCAUCUGGUAACUACAUCCUCAACAUGCACACAUAUCUGUAUACCUACCCUCCAUUGUGAUACUGUAUUGUCUUCCAGUAGGUAACUUGUUUUCAACUCUUGUUAUAAUCCACCAAAUAGAUUCCAUCACCUAAACGUG